RNAcentral lists this small nucleolar RNA (276 nucleotides) under Anabas testudineus (climbing perch). RNAcentral describes it as "Small Cajal body specific RNA 6 (ENSATEG00000019470.2)". It matches the Rfam family "Small Cajal body specific RNA 6". Rfam says of the family: U88 is small Cajal body specific RNA (scaRNA). scaRNAs are a novel class of small nuclear RNAs which localise to the Cajal bodies. Lineage: Eukaryota; Metazoa; Chordata; Actinopteri; Anabantiformes; Anabantidae. The record is from Rfam by way of RNAcentral.
GGUCAAUGAUGAAAAGUAAAAGGUCUGAUUACCCACAAUCCCCUCCUGCUGCCCUCUGGCUCCCAGCAGCCCCUGCUCAUCUCCCAUCAUGCGCUAGUGGUGCAGUGGUGGUCUCAGCAGCUGCUGACAGACAGGAAGUGACAUCACAGUGAGUCUGUACAGAGAUCCUAUUGGCUCAGUGUGAUUGGCAUCCAACAGAACCAUUUGGCAUGGAGCGUCAGGCUGAGGAGGAGGAGGAGGAGGAGGGAGCUGAUCUCAAGUUUUCAACCUGAGACU